Molecule: ribosomal RNA, 253 nt
Filed under: uncultured bacterium
Lineage: Bacteria
Description: partial 16S ribosomal RNA
Rfam family: Bacterial small subunit ribosomal RNA
Source: RNAcentral
UACGGAGGGUGCAAGCGUUGUCCGGAUUUAUUGGGUUUAAAGGGUGCGUAGGCGGCCUUUUAAGUCAGUGGUGAAAUCCUUCAGCUUAACUGAAGGCGUGCCAUUGAUACUGGAAGGCUUGAGUACAGACGAGGUUGGCGGAAUUUAUGGUGUAGCGGUGAAAUGCAUAGAUACCAUAAAGAACACCGAUUGCGAAGGCAGCUAACUAGGCUGUUACUGACGCUGAGGCACGAAAGUGCGGGGAUCGAACAGG